UUUUGAAAGACCGUCUUUGGUAUGUGUUCUCAAUCGUCUUAUGUAAAGAUAUUUUGUAUAUAGUCUCCAUUAGAUAAAAAGAGUAGGGGAGGGUUUUAAGCUAUUGUAUAGCGGCGGCGGGCAUUGAGCGUGGCGACCGAAUCAAGAAAUUCCGUAACUAAAAUAAAACCUUACACUCCCCGAGCCACUCCGCCUACCAUGUAGCUCGCUUUCAAUACAGUCACACGUUGCGCUUGUGUAGUGUUUGUGAAUAAGCGCGCGGCGUGACGUCGCACUGCAUGCGCAUCAUGAAAGUCUGCCCAUCUCCCUCUCACGCGGUUUAGCUUAUGAGUGUAAAGGGGACAGUUAGUGUUUUGCUGGUGUUAAUGUUUAUAAAUAUAGCGUGGUCUUAUUUUAUUAUUGUUUUAAUAUUAAAUUAUUAUUGUCUAAUAUUAUAAUUGCAUAAGUUCAUAAAAAAUGCUAUGCAAUAGCUUUACCGCGGUAGUUUCCGAGUGCAAAACGUGUUUUUUUUAAAGUAAAAAAAAUUGUAACAAUUAUCGCAGGUGAGUUUAAAAUUUUAUGUUGUGGAUGCUAUUACAUUAUUUAAACAUAUAUUAAUAAGUGUAGUAAGAGAAUAUAGGGAAGGAGUGCAGAAUACUAUUUUUAUUUUAAUUAUGCGCAAAAAAUACAUUAAAUCCAUAAAAAAAACAUUACACACAAUACCAUGUAUUUGAUACCCACACGCUUUUUUUUUCCUACCUAAGCUGGUAGCCUAGAGAGGCUAUUCCAGCGGAAUUGCUCACGGGGCUCAAACCUGACGACGAUGCUAACACGAACCCUAGCAAGAGUCGUGCUUCGCUGAAUCUACCACCGGAUCGGAAACGCGACCCACUGAGAAGAUCCGGCGAGAAACUCAGUGGGCUGUGUCUGAAAGUUAAUUUACUCGUCGAGCCCUUCGUUGCAAGCGACGGGUUCGACGAGAACGAUGACCGGCAUAGACAGCCGCAACCCGCCUUGACACGUGAAGUCUAUGCUGCAACUUUUCGGGUUUGAUUUUUGUUACACAAAGCUAUUUUUUCACCGGGGAAGUCAUUCGUGAAUAUAACUUAAGUGCGUAGGUAUAAUGUAAUGUUUCGGUAGAAGAAUCGGUGCCUACUGGAUUUGAACCCUGACACAGUUGCAUCGCUCGAGGCGAGUACAUCAAGAGUUUUAGUCUUUAGGCCAACUCAAGGAUACCUCUGUGCUUAGUGCGAGUCUUAGAACAGCCCUCUAGCGGCAAACGUAAGCAAACGAUCCCAUUCCAUACAAAUAUAAGCUAACUUUUACGCUAUCGAGAACGUUAAAAAACUCAUACUAAGCACACUUGUGACAAAAAAGAGUCGGGCUUCGCAACCCCAUGAUCAGUACUCUAGAUAAGAAUCGGGACGGAGUAGAUAGUCUUAGUGAUGUUACGAAGGACGGAUUAUGGGGAAAUAAGCACUAGGUAUGUCUAUAGAGCAGUCUAAGGAACAAGCACUAGGGAUACCUACCUAUAUCUCGUGAUAUAUAUCAAUCACUAUAUAUGUAUAAUGAUUAUGUCCUACGGACUUACGAAACUCAUUCUAUUUUCCAUUAAAAUCCUAUUUAUUUUUAUAUAAUACUAGCUGACCCGGCAAACGUUGUCUUGCAUUAUAUAAGAUUUCUAGAGAAUUUCUUGUGUAGAAAAAAAAUUACUAACUUAUUUGAAGUGUAUAAGGAUGUGGAAUAUGAGUGAAAAAAGGCCUGGAGCGCUGUGAACGAUGAGGGAAUGUUGUUUAAAAAUAACAAAACACCAAACAUUAAUUGUUUUAAUUUAUUAAAAGUAAUAGUUACAUAUAUAAUUAAUUCAUUACAUAAUAUUAAUCUCCUAAUGCUGCAGCGUGAACAAUAUUUUUUGUUAGCCCGUCUUUAGCUAAUACAAACAAACUUGAUGGUUUACCUAAUACAUUUAUAUGAUACCAAGUCCCCUGGCAAUAAUUGUUGUAUCUUCAGAUUUAAAAUGUCAACGUCCACAUGUUUUGCAGCUAACAUUGCUCUUUCUGCAAGCCACUCGAGAUUUAUGUAAUUCGUGUGUACAUCGGGAAAUAUUUAUUCAAUGAGAGCAUCUUGCGAAUCAAUGAUAGUGCAGAAAUCAUUCGCUAAUUUUAUGUAUUCAGUUUCAGCUAUAGUGACUUUUCCAUCGCCGAUAUCUAAGAGUUGUUUUGAGAAUGUUUCAUCGGAUGGAUCUUGAAGCAUUUGAACGCGCAUAUUUACUUUCAGCUGUACUAUUUCAACAUUAUGCCACAAUGUCGAUGAUUUUAAGUAGGCGUUGAUUUCAUCGCGUAUGUUGAACGUGGAAUGACGGGAAGUGUUUGUCUGAAGUCACCUGAAAGGACUAACCGAGUGCCACCAAAUAGUUUGUCGUUGUUUUUAAUAUCUUUCAAUGUCCUGUUCAACGCCUCAAGCGAAUGUUUGUGUGUGUACAUUCAUAUUUUCCACUCUAAGCACCGCCAUCUCACUGCCUUUAUGGACAUAAUUGCAAAUGUAUUUGAUGCUCUUCACAGAACUGCAGAACUCAACAUUAAUAUGAGCAUUGUAUGUUUUGCUCAGCAGGGGCGAAUAUGGCACGACCUAACAAUUGUCAAUAUCAAUGUCUGUGUUGCUGAUGUUUUUAAUAAAUGAUUGUCCGCCAUUAUCUGGAUUCCUUCGACGAUAUAUUGGAUAUCCGUUGACAUUUGUGAUUGUAUCUUUAGUGAAAUCUUUAGGGAAAUUUUUUGUACAUUUUUCAUCUGACAUGCAAGGCGAUGAACUAAAAAUGUUUAACUACUACGCUUGAAGCAUAAACACUAAUAAUAGCCGAAAACUGUAGAGGUAACAUCCCUACUCCGUGCUGUUUACAGGGUGAGAAGUGACACCGGUAGACACAUGGAGGGGAUAACUUACCAAGUGAUAAUAAUUGAUGUUAUCGAGCGGGAUAGAAAAUGAUUAAAUUAUUAAAAUGGCUAUUAAAAAAUAAGGGUUGAUCGUAGAAGGGUGAAAAUUGAGGAUUAUAUGUAUUUUUGUAUGUUGUAUCAUAAAAAAAUAGAAAUUAAAAAUUUUGUCUAAAAAAUAAAAAAUAAAAUUUAGGGGUGGACUACCCCUAACAUUUAGGGGAAUGAAAAAUAGAUGUUGGCCGAUUCUCAUAGAUACCGGAUAAGCACAAAAAAUUUCAUCAAAAUCGGUCAAGCCGUUUCGGAGGAGUAUGGCAACGAAAACUGUGACACGAGAAUUUUAUAUAUUAGAUAAAUAAUUAACUGUCAAGUUAAAUAAUCAAUUUAAAUCAAAUGAACAUAAUAUUAAUUUGAUAAUAUAAUUUAUUGAUUAAUUCAUAAAUUUAUGUCGUUAUCAUAAAACCCUGUUUAUUGAUGGAUAUCUAUCUUAGCCGGUUUAUGCUACAGAAAAUUAAAAAAUAAUAAAUGAGCUUAUAUUUUCUUCAUAUUGAAUGAAAAUUAAAAAUUAAGUAGGUUAUUCUCAUUAUUAUAUACCUAAUACCUAUUUUAAAGUCUUGGAUCAGUGUUCGAUGGAAGUGGACAAAAAGGAAUUAAUCAAUUUAAGCAAGAGUUAGACUUUACUGUUACUCAAGACGGGUGACUGCUUUCAUGCUCUUUGUUUAUAGGUUUUCUCCUAGGUUCAUUGGUCUUAUAUUUAGAUACGAUGCUUGAAUAAAAAAAAAACUACCAUACAGCAUAACGAUAAUGUAGAAAAACUCAUUGUGAUGACGAGAAAAAAUCGCGCGGCCUUGGAGAGGUUUGAUGUAAGAACUUAUUAAAGAAGAUGGAAGAAUGAGGUUAUCAGGUACCAUCAGACUGCUAACGUAUAAUCAAAAGGUUCUUGCGAGACUAUUUUAUUUUAAUAACGAACUAUGGUGUUCUAAGAGUUCAGUUAAGGAAGAGAAUGUAAAAGGACAAGUCUGUAGAUUUGAAUUUGCCGGUUCCCAUCAGGGCUAUGAAUGAGUUGGUAGCAGUACUAAGAGAUUAUUUCAUCUUUCGAUCUAUGUGCUUAGUGCGAGUUUUUUAACGUUCUCGUUCGCGUAAAAGUUAAUUCAAAUUUGUAUGGAGUUGGAGCGUUUGCCGCUAUGGGCGCCGUUUCAAAUGCAUACAAAUUUGAGUUAACUUUUACGCUAUCGAGAACGUUAAAAUACUCGCACUAAGCACACUGUAUGUAAAUGACUUUCGAAAUGAAGUUUCGGUAAAGCAAUCAUACGGAUUUCGAUAUCAGCGCGCCCGGGGUCACAGGUCUCACAUUUGUCUCGAACUUUGCAUAAUAAUAAUUAAACUGGCAAAUGAUAUACACAGAACGAGUUCAACAUUUUCCUUAUAAUAUAUCAUAACAAACUACUGUUUGUUUCUGUACUGUUAAAGAAAUUAAAGAUUAGGAGAUAACGUGCAAAAAAAAUAAUACAAAUUCAAAAUUAUAUUAUAAAUUAAUAAAUACACAUUAAUAUUAUUUCUCUUGGAAAAUUAAUCAAAAACUCUUUUACUUAAACUAUGUAAAAUGAAAAUUCUACAGGAGUUUAUUGUGUUCCAUUACGGCUUUAAUAAAUUUAUUAUUUUAUUUAAUUUAUAAAAUUCUAAUUUUAAUCGGAGUUUUUUUUUCUCACUUGUAUGAAAUGUCAAAGUCUCAUAGUAACUGCUUAUGUCAAAAUAAUGUCAAGGUUCCACGAAUACAUUUUAAAAAAUCAAUCAAUUGAUGUUUUUUUCGUUUUGUGCAAAAUAACAAUUAAAUUAAAUAUUUGGACGAGAAUUUGAAACGGUUAUUUAACUACAAACUAAAACAAAAUGAGAAUUGCAAAAUAAACAAAAUAUAGCUCACAGAUGUCCACUGCUGGACAUAUGUCUCGUAACAACGACCGGUCCUGCGGUGUCUGCAUCCAGCGUAUAAAUGAAGAAAAACGUGAUUAUUUUAUAAACGAUUAAUUUAUAAUAACUCAAAACAUGUAUUUGAUAGCUAAAUACCAAACUAAAUGAUUUAUUAUUGUACUUAAUAAAUAGGUAUUAUAUUA
This is a long non-coding RNA of Bombyx mori (domestic silkworm), 5017 nucleotides long. RefSeq lists it as uncharacterized. The transcript is spliced from 2 exons. The record is from RefSeq and is a predicted model, not a curated record. NCBI's taxonomy places the organism in Eukaryota, Metazoa, Arthropoda, Insecta, Lepidoptera, Bombycidae.